AUCCAAACCCUCAUUUGCUCCACCAUCUCCAAUCUCAAACAUUAUCAUCAUCUAAUCGAGUUAAGAGAGGGAGGUUAAACAAUGUAUACUAGGCGAUUGAUGAAACACCUAAGAGAACUAAAGUUUGGGAAAAUUCUUUGCAAUAUGCAGGAAAUAAGUGUUGGAUUAGUGUUUAAGUCCAUAACUAUUUUGGUAUGUACUUGACCCGAUGGUGCAUGGUCCUUUUGGGUUGCCUUCACCAAAGCAACUAGAUAAGGAUAAGGACUAAAACCCUAAUCUUUACACCUAUAUAUAAACCCCCUAAGGCUUAUGAAUUCGGCCAACCCUUACCAAGAAGUCAUAAGGACGAAUUCCUACCUCUCUCCUCUCUCUUUAUACCUUCUCCACUUGCUCUUGGUGUUUGUAAGCCAUUAGAGGAGUGACACUUGUGACUCUAAGCCUUCCAAAGCUAAUUCAAGGAGGAAUUAGGAUUGUUAUUGCUACAUAACAAUCAAGGUAAUAUCAUAAACCUAAUUAUAUGUUAAUAUUGAUUUCCAUAUGUUAGAAUUAGGGUUUAUAGUCUUGGAUUCAAAGCAUGUACAAUAGAGAAACCUAGAUCCAAGCAUUAGGGUUUGUAUGAGCACAUAGGAUGUCUUAUGACCAAAACCCAUCAGUGGUAUCAGAGCCUAGCUUGGUUUCAAUUGUAUUGAUGCAUUCUAUAACUAGAAAAUUCGUUUUUUGGGUUUCUGGAGGCUGGACUCGCCGAGUCCAUGGAUGAACUCGCCGAGUCCAUGCAGACUCGACGAGUCAACUCGUCAGAUAGAGCUUAUCUCGGGAUUUCUUGUUGUUUUUGCAUUGGGAUAGUUACCUUAUCAUGUUAGAUCAAUAUUAAUCCGAUUAUAUGAUAUAUUUGACUAUAUUUUUGAUCUAAUUGAAGAUAUUUAUCAAUUAAUAAGAUAAUUGUUUCCUUAUAAGAUAAUUGAUUAAUUAUUUUGAGUAAAUUGAUAAAUUGUUUUGCAAGAAAUCAUUAAACAAAUCAAAUAUGGAUAAUUAUGUAAUUAAAUGUUAGUUUAGAUUAUUUGUUAUUUGAUCCUUGUUGUUAUGAAAAGUUUCAUAUUUUGCCCUUUAGGUUUUAUAGUUUAAAUUUGAACCCAAAAGUUUUGUUGUUUUGAAAUUUAAAUAGUUGAAACCCUAAUGUUUUGAAAAAGGUUUCAAAACUUGCCCUCAAGUUUUGGAAUUUAAAUUUUGAUUAAAUGGUUUAAUUUUGAUGUAUAUUUAAAUUCUAAACCCUAAUGUGUUGAAAUGUUUCAAAACUUGCCCUCAAGUUUUGGAAUUUAAAAGUUGAUUAAAAGUUUAAUUAGGAAUGUUAAAUUCUAAAACUCUAGUAUAGUUUUGAAAAAGUUCAAAUCACACCCUUAUGGUUUUAUUAAUUAAUUAAGGUGUAUAAUUAAAAGAGGUUUAAUAAAUCCAUAAAAGUUUAGGUUUACAAUUUAAUUGAAUUAAAAGUAUAAUUGUUAAAUUAGACCACCUAGUAUUUUAAAAGUAUAAAAUACACCCUAUACUAUAUAUAACAUUAAAAGUCUAACAUUAUAUAUAUGUAUGAGUAAAAGUCAGUCUUACCGUUAGUAGGCCUCAUUCACGAAGCUGGUCUAUAAGGGGUGUUUAAGGAAAUUGCCUAUAAAAUGGCGAUUGAAUGGGUAUCCACUCUUACCCACCGCACUCUUGACUAGUGGAGGGUCGUUAGCCGAACGGGUAGGAUAGGACGAAACCUUCCAUUAUAAGUAUAAUGAAUUAUUAAAGUAACUAAAUGUUUUCAUAAAAUUCCCAAUCUUAGUUACUUAGGCAAAAGUGAAUUGAUGCAAUUCCAUGAAAUUACACUUUGUGCCCUUGCGAAGACGUUAGUGGAGCGUGUGUGGUUUACCGGCACACUAAAUGGUUCUAAGCAAAGGUAGCAAAGGGUGACUCAAUGUUUGUCAUAGUUCGGUGGAGCGUGUGUGGUUUACCGGCACAUCGAAUAGGUGACUGUAACAUGUGAGGGCACCAUGUAAGUUUGCAUGGUUAUUCACACCCGCUUUGUGAUCCUCGGCAUCCCAGUCACAAACAAGAGGGGCAUAUCGAGAUUUAAACAUGCCAUUGAAAGUUCAAUGAAUCUCAAAGGAUCUAGGAGUUUUCAUAGAUUUAAAACUUAAAUUUCUUUUUCGUUUUUCAUGGUGGAAAUUAGUGAAUCGUCAUUCACUUACCUUCAAAUAUUCUGCAAUUAGGGUUACGGCAUCCCUCUCCCGAGUUGUAGAAUAUUGUGUUGGGUCCUAGCCUUAGUAUCUCAUUUGGGUGAUUUACUAAGGACUCAAUCAAUCAACUAACUUGAAUUCGUUUUCUCCCGUUUUGUAGAUGUCAAAGUUCGACAACUAUGGUCUUCCCAAAUCCCGUGGAACAAGCAUUCCACAUGAAGAUGAUAUUCCACGAUUCGAUCGAGGAACAAGAAAUCAUGCUUCACUUCCUCCUCCUCCUCCAAUUAUUCUCCCUAACCCACAAGUUCAAAGGCUUGAAAAGUUCAAGAUCACUCAAGCCCUUUUGGCAAGUAAACAUAAAGAAGGAAAGUCGGUGUGUGCACACGUCCUAGGGAUGAAGUCACACAUUGAUAGGUUAAGAAUGUUGGGAUCCGUUGUCUGUGAGGAAAUGGCUGUUGAUUGGGUUCUUCAGUCACUUCCUAACUCAUAUAGUGAGUUCGUAAGAGAGUACUAUAUGAUGAACCGCGACGUGACCCUUAUAGAUCUCACCUAUAUGCUUAUUGCUGCUGAAUCAGCAAUGGUUUGGCGCAAUAGAAAAGCAAAGUUGAUUGGUGAAUCUGCCUUCAAGACCUCUAUGGAUAUAGACAAUGGCAACGAAAGACAUGCUAUGAUCGAAAAGUUUGAUCAUAAGAGAAAGGCAAUGUCUGAAGUAGUUCCAUGUCAUGUUCCAAAAGAGUCAAUUUGCUUUUAUUGCCAAGAGAAAGGGCAUUGGAGACGAAGCUGCCCCAUUUACCUAAGAGAUCUAAGAGAUGGGAGAGUCGAAACGUAUGGCUCUAAUAUAGGUAAAAUCCAUUAACUAACUCUUUUAAGCUUCUAUUCUAGAUUCUUAAUACAUAAUGUGAUAAGAUUACAAUUGAUGUUUUGUAGGAUCGAAGAAAAGAAAGGAAGCUUAAGGGAAGAAGUGAGCAGAAUCUAACCGUGAAGGAAUGGAUUUCGAUCGCAUUUCUCGAAGAUUAGAUUCUUGAGCUACUACUUAGAGUUAGAAUUAGAUUGCUAAGAAAGAUGUAUUAGCAUAGUUUUUCAAUGAAUUGCAUUGUAAGGACAAAUUUUUUCCGCAAUAAAAUAAAUUUUGAUUUUAUAUUAUUUAUUUAUCCUUGCAAUGGCGUAUAUGAAAAAUUGAUGUUUGAAUGUUUCUAUUAUUAGCAAUAAUGGAUUUGGUUCUUAUUAUGUUAUUUAUGGAAAGUCGAGAAUUUACCAAAUAGGGAGAGUUUCUCAUCGCCCAAGUUUCAAUUGGACAGAAACUUGGAAUCAUGCAACUUGGUUGCACGAUGAAUGAGAAAUUUCAUAUUUGGAAAUUAGACUAAUUCAUUGACAAAGUGUCAAGUGAAGGACUAGGAGAUCGAGUACACAAAGUUGCGUGUUGAUCAAGUCCACCAUAAGAGUAACAAAGAUAUUCGUCAUGAUUUACUAAAGGUUUAGUAAAUAUGAUUAUACUUACAAGAUUAAGUGUAAUUCUGAAUUGAUUGAAAAAGUUUAAAUCAAUAGCAGAACGAAUAAGAAGAAUCAAGUAGGCAGAAAGAUAAAAGUUUCUCCAUUCUAAGAAGAAGGGAGAGUACCUUUUAUGCUUUAUGAUAGGUCUUAAUGAUUAAGAACCAUAUCUCAAUUGAUCCUCUAAGUGAGUCUUAGUACAAUUGUAUGUCUAAGAAGAGGAAUCAAGAAUUGAAGAAAUGGUUAAAUCAAGAAGUCAAUCAUACUUCGUUCCAAAACAAGUCUUAGAGUUAAGAUUGUGACAUUGAGUGAUAAGUAUUAAGAAGGUUUAUAACAUUCAUCAAAUGUGGAAAGUUGUGAUGUCUUGGAUAAGACAAAGACCAACUAGGACCAAUUUAUGAAGUGUUUUGAUAAAAGCUACACUAACUCUUGAAUAUUUGUUUGUCAAGAAAUGUUUAUUGACAAGAGAAUCUUAUAUGUCAAGGAGUCAGUGGGAGUCUUAAUGGUCUUGAAAGGUUUCAAGAACAAAUCAAAUAAACCUUAUCGAUCAUCACUAGCACACGAGUUGAGGUUUACAACCUAUCGUGUUGACAUUAUUUUGUUUCUGUGCCAAUCCAAUCGAGUUAAUUAUGCAUGUGAGUUCUAUGAGUUCUCAUUUUGAACGCAUAAAAGGCAAAGCACCUUAAUCAAUGAAAGGUACAUUGAUAGGAAAGGGUGAGCUGCUUAACUACUUGGAAGACAUGGUGGGCAGCUGUGCUACCAUAAGGCAAGAAAUCAAGAUUAAGAAAGUUCGGUCCAUAUGAGUUUGAAUUUGUCGUAAACUUUGGUUUUAACAAAUUCACAUGGAUAGGAACACAUACACCGUUUAAAUCUAAGUGUCAUAAGAUUUCCUCCUUCAUGAAAAUGAUUGUGAGGAAAUGCUUUCACUAAGAAAGAUUUUAAGAAGAUAGUGAUUGUAAAAUUGCAUUCUCGAAUUCGAUUAUGGUUACGGUAUCCCUUUCCAUAAUUUGAAUUGUGAGGUUUGGCAAUUAGUCUUAAUUGUUUAGACACACAUAUGAACUAUCGAAGGCAAAGGUGUAUAAGUUCAAGAAGCCUUGAUAAAAGAUUAUCAAAGCACUAAGUAUUAGAAACAUGAACUUAAGAAAUUCAAUAAGUAUUGUUUUUCUGAAAGUUAAGAUGUUUAUGAAUACAUGUCGAAGCUAGUGGGAGCAUAAGUGUUAUGUUUUAUAAUAAUCAUCAUGAUAGUGGGAGCAUAAAUGUUAUGAUUGUAUGAUUAUUAAGGAAAGUAUUGCAAGUUGGCAAUAUUAAUUAUAGAAAACAAGAGUCAUACUUUGCAAAGUUGUAAGGAUGGAAUAGUUGUUUUGCUAUAAUUAAGGGAGAGAAUAUUAUGCUUCAUUUCAAAUCUAAAGGCUUAGGUUGAGAAAUGUUAAUAAAUUUAGUCAAAGGUACAUAGUGUGUUCUUAAAAUUUCGAUUAUGAUUACGGCAUCCCUCUUCACAAUUCGAAUUUUGAGAACAUAGCAAAUAAAACAUUAUGCGUCGUGUCCCAUACGCUUCGGGUAUAGGAUCGAUUGCAAAUGCUUUAAUGUUUGACCAUUCUAAAAUUUUCCAAAUGUCGAGCGCAUUUAGAGGGAAAAGGGACUAGAAUUGGUUUUGACUAAAAUAAUUAAACAACUAUCAAAGGACAAUCCAAGUUCGACGAGGAUUGGUCGCUUGUGAGUAGUUGGAAGUAUAGUAUUGGAAAAUAUGGAAAUGUUUCCAUAUUGGAUGGACCAUAUCGACAUCAUUACGAAUAGAUAAGAUUCUAUUAAGAAUGAGUUGUCAUAUGGAACAUAUGGAAGUGUGUCCAUAUUGGGAAUUGAAUAUUGAGAAAUCUAUGACUAGAUUAGAAACUUCUAUGCAAAAGGAUGUUCAAAGAAUGUACUUUGAGUGAGAGACAUCACGUCUAUGGAAUUGUCUUGUAACAAUCUCCGAUAGAGGACUUUGUAAUAUCAUUGGCAAUAGUCUUUGUGACUUUGGUGCAGUGACAUUACGAAAGGAUAGUUGCAUAGAAUGUUAGAAUCUAGCAUAUUCUAUAAGUAGCAAGAAUUUGAUAUUCUUUGACUUAUGAAAAACGGAUUUGGAGUUGUGAAAUGAGAAGGAUUGGAAAUGUGUUCAAUGUGAUCUAUUUCACAAAGUAAGAACCAUAGGUAAACAUUGUGUGCAUGCUAGGAGCAUGGGACAAGUGUUGGAAUUCAAGUAAGAAGUUGAUUACCCGAAACGACAAAUAAUGAGUAAUCAAUAUGGUGAUAAAUAAAAGGUGUUUUAUUUAUACUCAAAGGUUUGAGGCCAUAUGGGAUUAGUAUUAUUCUUGUGUUUCACAUUUGCAUGUUUUGACUUCCAGAAUAAUUGAGUUUAUUAAGAAUAAUCGAAUUAUUCAAACGGGCCACAGUCGUUCAUAUGUUGGAAGUAGAUAUGAAUGAAGACUGUCGUGAAUUGGUGUGUGGAUUGUCUAAAAGAGUAUUAGACAUAAGCAAAUGUUUGCUGCAACGUUCAUGAGUGCUUAUGAAUGUGAUUUGAGCAUUGGAUUAGACCCACGCUCACUUGGAUCACUCCAUGGAUUGUAUCACGAGUGAUUGGUGAGACGAUAACAUCUUAUAUUCUUGAAACCGAGAUGUGUGAGUUGUAUCUUGCAAAUCGGUUGCACAUUGAUAAUAUGUAAACGCACUAGUAACUUGGUGUUAUAAAACAUAUUGUUGUGUGUGAUUCGGUGCGUGAGUACAAGCAAGCAUUGUAUCAAAGUUUAUCCGUUCCUUUUAUUCAAAGUAGGAUAAAAGCGAUAUCUUUGGGCCCCUCGAUGGUUUAGUGAUGACAAACGUAAAUGCUCGGCCGGGCUAGGGCUAAUUUGAUUUGUUCAAUUAGUCUGUCGUCAUAAAUCAGAAAUCGAGAUAUAGUACAAAGAGAAUGAUUUGAAAUCAUAUCUCAUAUGAUAUCUAGAAUGGAGGAAUAUAUGAUCCCUUAUCUAAGGACACGCGUAUCUGAUAUGAUCAGAGUUGACAGCGGCUUUGGAAAGCUACGAUUGCAGAUCAGGAUCUGAAGUCAUACGUAGACUAGUUAUUAGACUUAUCCAAGUGGGAGACUGUUGGAUUAGUGUUUAAGUCCAUAACUAUUUUGGUAUGUACUUGACCCGAUGGUGCAUGGUCCUUUUGGGUUGCCUUCACCAAAGCAACUAGAUAAGGAUAAGGACUAAAACCCUAAUCUUUACACCUAUAUAUAAACCCCCUAAGGCUUAUGAAUUCGGCCAAACCUUCCCAAGAAGUCAUAAGGACGAAUUCCUACCUCUCUCCUCUCUCUUUAUACCUUCUCCACUUGCUCUUGGUGUUUGUAAGCCAUUAGAGGAGUGACACUUGUGACUCUAAGCCUUCCAAAGCUAAUUCAAGGAGGAAUUAGGAUUGUUAUUGCUACAUAACAAUCAAGGUAAUAUCAUAAACCUAAUUAUAUGUUAAUAUUGAUUUCCAUAUGUUAGAACUAGGGUUUAUAGUCUUGGAUUCAAAGCAUGUACAAUAGAGAAACCUAGAUCCAAGCAUUAGGGUUUGUAUGAGCACAUAGGAUGUUUUAUGACCAAAACCCAUCAAUAAGAUCCACAUAUAGCCUCGUAAAAUCAAUGGAAUGGACCAUUCCAUCCCUUACAUGAGAGAAAGUGAGGGAGGGAGAAGUGUCAACAGGGAUUAGUGGUGAUAGAGUGCAGAUC
RNAcentral lists this long non-coding RNA (7423 nucleotides) under Lactuca sativa (garden lettuce). RNAcentral's name for it is "long non-coding RNA (LSAT_LNC003281)". The record is from RNAcentral. Lineage: Eukaryota; Viridiplantae; Streptophyta; Magnoliopsida; Asterales; Asteraceae.